GAUGAACGCUGGCGGCGUGCCUAAUACAUGCAAGUCGAGCGAACGGACGAGAAGCUUGCUUCUCUGAUGUUAGCGGCGGACGGGUGAGUAACACGUGGAUAACCUACCUAUAAGACUGGGAUAACUUCGGGAAACCGGAGCUAAUACCGGAUGAUAUUUUGAACCGCAUGGUUCAAAAGUGAAAGACGGUCUUGCUGUCACUUAUAGAUGGAUCCGCGCUGCAUUAGCUAGUUGGUAAGGUAACGGCUUACCAAGGCAACGAUGCAUAGCCGACCUGAGAGGGUGAUCGGCCACACUGGAACUGAGACACGGUCCAGACUCCUACGGGAGGCAGCAGUAGGGAAUCUUCCGCAAUGGGCGAAAGCAUGACGGAGCAACGCCGCGUGAGUGAUGAAGGUCUUCGGAUCGUAAAACUCUGUUAUUAGGGAAGAACAUAUGUGUAAGUAAAUGUGCACAUCUUGACGGUACCUAAUCAGAAAGCCACGGCUAACUACGUG
RNAcentral lists this ribosomal RNA (497 nucleotides) under uncultured bacterium. RNAcentral's name for it is "partial 16S ribosomal RNA". It matches the Rfam family "Bacterial small subunit ribosomal RNA", at positions 28 to 507 of the family's 1533-position model. The record is from RNAcentral.